Molecule: long non-coding RNA, 429 nt
Filed under: Physcomitrium patens
Lineage: Eukaryota; Viridiplantae; Streptophyta; Bryopsida; Funariales; Funariaceae
Description: long non-coding RNA (PPAT_LNC008294)
Source: RNAcentral
AAAUUGAUUAAGUAAGGAAUGACGAUUAGAAUCUAGAAUUUCAAGGCUAAAUAUAUAGAAAUUGUAGAAGAUAUUGGAGGGACCAGAUUGUGAUAGUCAUGAGUUGGGAUAAGCUUGGUGCUAUCUCUUAUUUCUUAUCUAUUUUGUUAUUUUAGGUUUUAAUCACUGUGAUGUAAAUCUAAGGAAUAAAUCAGAGAUUGAUCUAUAAGAUAUUAAGUAUAUAAUUGGAGUAUUGUAUGAUUGAAUUAUUAUGAAAAGAUAUUGAGAGUUUGUUAUCAGAUUCUGUAAGAGAUUGCUCAUAGAUAAAAGAUUAUGAUUGUUGUUAGUUGAGAGUUGUGUGUAUUUUGACAAAAGAAGUCGGUGAUUACAAAAAUUAUAUGAAGCCAGAUUAGUUGAAGUGGAAGUUUAUUAUUUCUGGUAUUGGAUGGA